This 159-nucleotide ribosomal RNA is filed under the name fungal sp. F157_NC. RNAcentral describes it as "5.8S ribosomal RNA". It matches the Rfam family "5.8S ribosomal RNA". Rfam says of the family: 5.8S ribosomal RNA (5.8S rRNA) is a component of the large subunit of the eukaryotic ribosome. It is transcribed by RNA polymerase I as part of the 45S precursor that also contains 18S and 28S rRNA. Functionally, it is thought that 5.8S rRNA may be involved in ribosome translocation. Lineage: Eukaryota; Fungi. The record is from RNAcentral.
CAACUUUCAACAACGGAUCUCUUGGCUCUCGCAUCGAUGAAGAACGCAGCGAAAUGCGAUACGUAAUGUGAAUUGCAGAAUUCAGUGAAUCAUCGAAUCUUUGAACGCACAUUGCACUCUCUGGUAUUCCGGAGAGUAUGCUUGUUUGAGUAUCAGUAA